RNAcentral lists this ribosomal RNA (851 nucleotides) under Salmonella enterica. Its description in RNAcentral is "partial 23S ribosomal RNA". It matches the Rfam family "Bacterial large subunit ribosomal RNA", at positions 711 to 1479 of the family's 2925-position model. The record is from RNAcentral. Lineage: Bacteria; Pseudomonadati; Pseudomonadota; Gammaproteobacteria; Enterobacterales; Enterobacteriaceae. RNAcentral also lists the same sequence under 3 other names.
AGACCCGAAACCCGGUGAUCUAGCCAUGGGCAGGUUGAAGGUUGGGUAACACUAACUGGAGGACCGAACCGACUAAUGUUGAAAAAUUAGCGGAUGACCUGUGGCUGGGGGUGAAAGGCCAAUCAAACCGGGAGAUAGCUGGUUCUCCCCGAAAGCUAUUUAGGUAGCGCCUCGUGAAUUCAUCUCCGGGGGUAGAGCACUGUUUCGGCUAGGGGGCCAUCCCGGCUUACCAACCCGAUGCAAACUGCGAAUACCGGAGAAUGUUAUCACGGGAGACACACGGCGGGUGCUAACGUCCGUCGUGAAGAGGGAAACAACCCAGACCGCCAGCUAAGGUCCCAAAGUCAUGGUUAAGUGGGAAACGAUGUGGGAAGGCCCAGACAGCCAGGAUGUUGGCUUAGAAGCAGCCAUCAUUUAAAGAAAGCGUAAUAGCUCACUGGUCGAGUCGGCCUGCGCGGAAGAUGUAACGGGGCUAAACCAUGCACCGAAGCUGCGGCAGCGAACGUAUCACCCAAGACAACUUUACGGAGUUGACGAUUGACGGAGCGAAGCGACGUCAAAGCGUUCAUUAAAGUCGAGUUGGCUUAGGGAUACGUUCGUUGGGUAGGGGAGCGUUCUGUAAGCCUGUGAAGGUGUGUCGUGAGGCAUGCUGGAGGUAUCAGAAGUGCGAAUGCUGACAUAAGUAACGAUAAAGCGGGUGAAAAGCCCGCUCGCCGGAAGACCAAGGGUUCCUGUCCAACGUUAAUCGGGGCAGGGUGAGUCGACCCCUAAGGCGAGGCCGAAAGGCGUAGUCGAUGGGAAACGGGUUAAUAUUCCCGUACUUGGUGUUACUGCGAAGGGGGGACGGAGAA